Molecule: ribosomal RNA, 499 nt
Filed under: uncultured Glomeromycotina
Lineage: Eukaryota; Fungi; Glomeromycota
Description: partial small subunit ribosomal RNA
Rfam family: Eukaryotic small subunit ribosomal RNA
Source: RNAcentral
CCAAUAGCGUAUAUUAAAGUUGUUGCAGUUAAAAAGCUCGUAGUUGAAUUUCGGGAUCAAUACGUCGGUCGUGCUUCGGUACGUACUGGCGUCAUUGAUUUCUCCCUUCUGACGAACCAUGAUGUCAUUAACUUGGUGUCAUGGGAAAUCAGGACUGUUACUUUGCAAAAAUUAGAGUGUUUAAAGCAGGCUCACGCUUGAAUACAUUAGCAUGGAAUAAUGAAAUAGGACGUUCGAACCUAUUUUGUUGGUUUCUAGGAUCAACGUAAUGAUUAAUAGGGUUAGUUGGGGGCAGUAGUAUUCAAUUGUCAGAGGUGAAAUUCUUGGAUUUAUUGAAGACUAACUACUGCGAAAGCAUUUGCCAAGGAUGUUUUCAUUAAUCAAGAACGAAAGUUAGGGGAUCGAAGACGAUCAGAUACCGUCGUAGUCUUAACCAUAAACUAUGCCGACUAGGGAUCGGAUGAUGUUAAUUUUUUAAUGACUCAUUCGGCGCCUUACG